UAUAUAUACAUACAUAUCUGUGUCUUUAUAUAUAUAUAUAUAAUGUGGUUUAGUGCUAAAAGAAAAAAUACUGGUUUUAUGUUUUUCGCAAGUCUCUAAAUCCUCGUUACAACUAGGCGUAGAUCGAUUGAGUUUCUGUUUCUGUUUCAGUUUCAGUAUCUGUCUGUGUCUCUGUCAGUGUGCGUGUUUUUUGAUUGAUUGGAAUCGUCUACUCUCUAACGGUACUUUAGCUCUUUUUCGUAUUUAUCACA
Drosophila arizonae is the source of this 251-nucleotide long non-coding RNA. The record is from RefSeq and is a predicted model, not a curated record. Lineage: Eukaryota; Metazoa; Arthropoda; Insecta; Diptera; Drosophilidae.